GCCUUCGUGGUGUAAUGGUCAGCACACUCCGCGCAUAUUCGAGAGGUCCAGGUUCGAUUCCCUGCGAAGACA
This 72-nucleotide transfer RNA is filed under the name Stegodyphus mimosarum. It matches the Rfam family "tRNA". From Rfam's summary of the family: Transfer RNA (tRNA) molecules are approximately 80 nucleotides in length. Their secondary structure includes four short double-helical elements and three loops (D, anti-codon, and T loops). Further hydrogen bonds mediate the characteristic L-shaped molecular structure. tRNAs have two regions of fundamental functional importance: the anti-codon, which is responsible for specific mRNA codon recognition, and the 3' end, to which the tRNAs corresponding amino acid is attached (by aminoacyl-tRNA synthetases). tRNAs cope with the degeneracy of the genetic code in two manners: having more than one tRNA (with a specific anti-codon) for a particular amino acid; and 'wobble' base-pairing, i.e. permitting non-standard base-pairing at the 3rd anti-codon position. The record is from Rfam by way of RNAcentral. Lineage: Eukaryota; Metazoa; Arthropoda; Arachnida; Araneae; Eresidae.